UUUUAGCCUGUUUGUUGUACUCAUUCACUGCAAAUUUCCCGAUCUCGACCACUUGAGGGUCCUUUGUGUCAGUUAUAGGGCUCCAACCACCUGGUAAACCACCACCGCCACCCAGUGCGGCGGAGGCGUGGAAGAAAAGGGAGGCGACCACCACGACUGAAAGAGUCACGGCAAGGGUACAGUUUUUGAGGGCCAUUUUUGUGUGUGCGUGUGUGAGGGAGUUUGAGAAUUUAAUGCAGGGAAAAUAUAGGUGUGGGUAGUUAUGAAAAUAAGUGGUGGUGUUGUUGGAGUAAUUAAUGAGAUCUCGGCACACGAGGGAGGCGACCACCACGGCUGAGAGAGUCAAGGCGAGGAUACAGUUGAAUUUGAGGGCCAUUUUUGUGUGUUUGUGAGGGAGUUUGAGAAUUUAAUGUAGGGAAAAUAUAGGUGUGGG
RNAcentral lists this long non-coding RNA (433 nucleotides) under Nicotiana benthamiana. Its description in RNAcentral is "long non-coding RNA (NBEN_LNC034770)". Lineage: Eukaryota; Viridiplantae; Streptophyta; Magnoliopsida; Solanales; Solanaceae. The record is from RNAcentral.